RNAcentral lists this ribosomal RNA (439 nucleotides) under uncultured bacterium. RNAcentral describes it as "partial 16S ribosomal RNA". It matches the Rfam family "Bacterial small subunit ribosomal RNA", at positions 338 to 795 of the family's 1533-position model. The record is from RNAcentral.
CCUACGGGUGGCAGCAGUGGGGAAUAUUGCACAAUGGGGGAAACCCUGAUGCAGCGACGCCGCGUGAGUGAAGAAGUAAUUCGUUAUGUAAAGCUCCAUCAGUAGGGAAGAAAAUGACGGUACGUGAGUAAGAAGCUCCGGCUAACUACGUGCCAGCAGCCGCGGUAACAUGUAGGGGGCAAGCGUUAUCCGGAUUUACGGGGGGUAAAGGGAGUGUAGUCGGUAGUGUAGGUCUGGGGUGAAAGGUGGGGGCUAAAACCCCGGCCGGUGUUGGAAACGGUACGGUUGAGUGCAAGAGAGGUAAGUGGAAUUCCUGGUGUAGCGGUGAAAUGCGUAGAUAUUAGGAGGAACACCAGUGGCGAAGGCAGCUUACUGGACUGUAACUGACGUUGAGGCUCGAAAGCGUGGGGAGCAAACAGGAUUAGAUACCCCUGUAGUC